AGUGAACGCUGGCGGUAGGCCUAACACAUGCAAGUCGAACGGCAGCACAGUAAGAGCUUGCUCUUACGGGUGGCGAGUGGCGGACGGGUGAGGAAUACAUCGGAAUCUACUUUUUCGUGGGGGAUAACGUAGGGAAACUUACGCUAAUACCGCAUACGACCUACGGGUGAAAGCAGGGGAUCUUCGGACCUUGCGCGAUUGAAUGAGCCGAUGUCGGAUUAGCUAGUUGGCGGGGUAAAGGCCCACCAAGGCGACGAUCCGUAGCUGGUCUGAGAAGAUGAUCAGCCACACUGGAACUGAGACACGGUCCAGACUCCUACGGGAGGCAGCAGUGGGGAAUAUUGGACAAUGGGCGCAAGCCUGAUCCAGCCAUACCGCGUGGGUGAAGAAGGCCUUCGGGUUGUAAAGCCCUUUUGUUGGGAAAGAAAAGCAGCAGGCUAAUACCCCGCUGUUCUGACGGUACCCAAAGAAUAAGCACCGGCUAACUUCGUG
RNAcentral lists this ribosomal RNA (492 nucleotides) under uncultured bacterium. RNAcentral describes it as "partial 16S ribosomal RNA". It matches the Rfam family "Bacterial small subunit ribosomal RNA", at positions 29 to 507 of the family's 1533-position model. The record is from RNAcentral.